UACGGAGGAUCCGAGCGUUAUCCGGAUUUAUUGGUUUUAAAGGGUGCGCAGGCGGGAGAUUAAGUCGGCGGUGAAAUUUUGCAGCUCAACUGUAAAAGUGCCUUCGAAACUGGUUUCCUUGAGUGUAGAUGAAGUAGGCGGAAUUUGUGGUGUAGCGGUGAAAUGCAUAGAUAUCACGAGGAACUCCGAUUGCGCAGGCAGCUUACUAAACCAUAACUGACGCUCAAGCACGAAGGCGUGGGGAUCAAACAGGAUUAGAUACUCGGGUAGU
Molecule: ribosomal RNA, 271 nt
Filed under: uncultured prokaryote
Description: partial 16S ribosomal RNA
Rfam family: Bacterial small subunit ribosomal RNA
Source: RNAcentral